Molecule: ribosomal RNA, 449 nt
Filed under: uncultured bacterium
Lineage: Bacteria
Description: partial 16S ribosomal RNA
Rfam family: Bacterial small subunit ribosomal RNA
Source: RNAcentral
AAUGAACGCUGGCGGCAUGCCUAACACAUGCAAGUCGAACGAAGGCUUCGGCCUUAGUGGCGCACGGGUGCGUCACGCGUGGGAAUCUGCCCUCAGGUUCGGACUAACAGCGAGAAAUUGCUGCUAAUACCGGAUGAUAUCGCGAGAUCAAAGAUUUAUCGCCUGAGGAUGAGCCCGCGUAGGAUUAUCUAGUUGGUGUGGUAAAGGCGCACCAAGGCGACGAUCCUUAACUGGGCUGAGAGGAUGAUCAGCCACACUGGGACUGAGACACGGCCCGGACUCAUACGGGAGGCAGCAGUGGGGAAUAUUGGACAAUGGGCGAAAGCCUGAUCCAGCAAUGCCGCGUGGGUGAUGAAGGCCUUAGGGUCGUAAAGCUCUUUUACCCGGGAUGAUAAUGACAGUACCGGGAGAAUAAGCUCCGGCUAACUCCGUGCCAGCAGCCGCCGUAA